This 29-nucleotide non-coding RNA is filed under the name Rattus norvegicus (Norway rat). The record is from RNAcentral. Lineage: Eukaryota; Metazoa; Chordata; Mammalia; Rodentia; Muridae.
UAUAUACACAUUGUCUUGGCUGGUAUCGG